This is a long non-coding RNA of Choloepus didactylus (southern two-toed sloth), 793 nucleotides long. RefSeq lists it as uncharacterized. The transcript has 4 exons. The record is from RefSeq and is a predicted model, not a curated record. NCBI's taxonomy places the organism in Eukaryota, Metazoa, Chordata, Mammalia, Pilosa, Megalonychidae.
GCAGCCCGUCCCCUUCGCGGGGCUGAAGGGCAGCAAGCUCGGACCCACUUGCGGGCGGACCCGCGGCUGCCCCCUCUGCCGGCUGGCGCUGGGGAUCUUGGGGCUGGACCUCUGCUCGCGUGGGAGGGGUCAGCACCCCAGAGGUAGGAGCUGGAGCAACCUUAGAGCCGCCUCGUCUGACCUCCUUGCUCCACAGAAAGAGAAACUAAGGCCCAAGACGAGAGUGAUCCACCGGGAUCCCAGGAAUAGCCGUCAUGGGUGACCCUUUGGGACAUGGCCCCCAUUCCUCCCACCUCUCUAACCACCUCUAUCCAAUUGAGAUACCCAAAGUUCCAGAGACCGACCAGGUUAUACACAAGGAGCUCAGCAUCUCAGGAUUUAGAGGUUCUCACAAACACCAGAGCAGAAGUUUGGAGGAUUGUAUCACAGGGAACAAGUAAAGACUCCAUCAAAAAGAAAGAAGACUUCUGGAAAAUUAGGAAAAUUUUAAUUUAUCAUUAACUGUCUACCAGGCACAGUGCUACAUACUUUCCAAAUGUAAAUUUAUAGUAAUCCCAUGAGGUAGAUGCUAUUAUUAUCCCCAUUUCCUAGAGAAACAAAAUGCAGCGCAAGAGAGGUUAAUUAACUUGUCCAAGGACAGAUAGCUACUAUGCAUCAGAGCUGGUAUUCAAACCAGUCAGUCUGCUUCCACAGUCCAUUCUCUUUUCCAUGUGGACUCUGGCAUUCUCUUCUGGAGCAGUUUCACACUUUCCUUUCCAAUGCCCUUGCAGUAAUAAAGGCAAUUUUUGCAGUG